GACGAACGCCGGCGGCGUGCCUAAUACAUGCAAGUCGAACGCUUUUUCUUUCACCGGAGCUUGUUCCACCGAAAGGAAAAGAGUGGCGAACGGGUGAGUAACACGUGGGUAACCUGCCCAUCAGAAGGGGAUAACACUUGGAAACAGGUGCUAAUACCGUAUAACACUAUUUUCCGCAUGGAAGAAAGUUGAAAGGCGCUUUUGCGUCACUGAUGGAUGGACCCGCGGUGCAUUAGCUAGUUGGUGAGGUAACGGCUCACCAAGGCAACGAUGCAUAGCAGACCUGAGAGGGUGAUCGGCCACACUGGGACUGAGACACGGCCCAGACUCCUACGGGAGGCAGCAGUAGGGAAUCUUCGGCAAUGGACGAAAGUCUGACCGAGCAACGCCGCGUGAGUGAAGAAGGUUUUCGGAUCGUAAAAUUCUGUUGUUAGAGAAGAACAAGGAUGAGAGUAGAACGUUCAUCCCUUGACGGUAUCUAACCAGAAAGCCACGGCUAACUACGUGCCAGCAGCCGCCGUAA
This 523-nucleotide ribosomal RNA is filed under the name uncultured bacterium. Its description in RNAcentral is "partial 16S ribosomal RNA". It matches the Rfam family "Bacterial small subunit ribosomal RNA", at positions 28 to 523 of the family's 1533-position model. The record is from RNAcentral.